UGUAGCCCUGGCUGUCCUGGAACUCACUCUGUAGCCCAGGCUGGCCCGCCUCUGCCUCUCAAGUGCGAGGAUUAAAGGUGUGCACCACCGUGUUCAUCUCAAGCCCUGACAUUCUUGACCAUUCUGAGCUAAUGCCCUCUCCAGAGGCAAAAAGAAAACUCCUCCCUCCAAGAACUUAUUGAUCUAUUUUAAGGUUAACGAGGAGAGGGUGGAACACAGAGUGGCCCUCUCUCAUACACCCCCUCCCACACCCACACCCACACCCCCGCCACAGACUCUGGGGAGCUCAGGGGCAGCUACAGAAGAUUCUCGCUGGACUUUCUCAUGUGUGACUCACCAGGCUCCUCCAUGAGGGCAAGCUGACUCACCGAGGACAGUCUGCUGUUUGUCUGUCUAAGAAGAAGGAUGGCAGCGUAGCCAGACACACGGCCCAGAUGAGACGGACAGACAAGGGCUUACCUCGUCUGGGACACCUCCCUCCUCAGACAAGCCCCUCCCCGCAGGGCCGGAAUGGAGACACUGAGACCCAAGGGCUGGAAUGGUGACUGGGCACAGAUUGCACCAGCACUUUGCAGCGGUGGCCAGUGAGCAGCAGCAUGCCCAGACUGUGCCCAGUGUGUGCAGGGUCUCCUUACCCCACAGCUCACUGCACAGCCUCCCCGUCCGCUCCAGUCUCUACGGCCUUAGUCCUGUGUCUCAGGACUGCUAUCAGACCCUAAUCCUCCCUCAGGCCAUUCUUCUGGUUGGAUCUGCCCCUGUUGUGUGACAGAACUUCCUGGGGAGACACAACAUCCAUCCCUGACAGACCAAAGUACGGAUACCAACUUGGUGAACCACCGAGCUUAGCUGGGGUUACUUUUGGGAAUACGGGUGAGGGGUCACUUAGAGGCGCAGAAAUGACUCACAGACAGCUGCAUCACCAGGGCCCACCACAGCAUGAGUGACAGCUCACAAAGCUGGGAACCUGGAGCACACUGCCUGCAGACAGCUCACAGGCUGGAGAGUGUCUUUCUCGGUGACUCAGUUGGUGUAAACCUCUUCCAGGCAGCUGGUCUAGUCUGAGUCUUCCUAGCAGCUUGUCUUGUUGGAGAGUGACCCUCAGUAGCUUGGCUUGCUUACCUCUUGGCAAGAAGGGACUUAGAGAAUCUAGUCAGUUUCAGGGACUUCCUGAACAUUUUGAAUGUACCUUCCAGCUUAAGCAGCUUCCCUGCAGGAUGGAAUGUUUCCGUCUUGGAGGAAAGGGAUACAUAAGAGCAUCCCCUGAAGACUUCUCUGAGCCUCUUGUACAGGAUGUCCAGGCGCCUUUGAGACCCUGCCCUUGUCUUCCCCAGGACACAAAGCUGCUCCUGCCUCCAGGAGGAAGAGGAGUUCGGGGAUCCCAGCAGCCAUUGCUGCUGCCCUGAGUGGGCUCACCCAGCCAGCACUGUGAGGAGGGUAGAGGCGAAGGGAUGGAGGAGAAGCCAAGCCAGUACGCCAAUGCUGUGAGCCUCUGGAUCAAACCAUGCCUGCAGCCCUCUCCUAGCACUGAUUGUUCUGUGACAGGCACCUGUAGUUCCUUCCUGGGUUAGGUUUUCUGUCUUUUGUAAGCAAGGGUGCAAACAGACACAGAUGUCACCAGACGGUGGGGGAUUGCUAUUUUGUAUGACAUAAUGAGGCACGUCUAUUGACCGAUGUAUCGAUCUUGUACAGUUGGUGGGCAUGCUACAGAACCUGGAGCCCAUGAGCUGCUGUGAGCUUGAAGAGCUGUGGGAGCCAGGUGGCAGUAAUGGAGGAGAAGGAACACGGGUGUGCUGUUCAUCUUUCUGUCAACUUGACAGAAGCUGGGUUCAUGCAGGAAGAGGGAGCCUCCACUGAGAAAAUGCCUCUAACAAACCGGCCUCUAGGCAAGUCUGUAGGCCAUGUUCUUUAACAAAAAUUGUUUUAUUUUAUGUGUAUGAGUGAUGUGUCCACAUACACGUAUGUGCAGCUCAUGCAUGUCUGGUGCUCAAGGAAGCUAGGAGUGGGGGUCGGAUCCCCGGAACUGGAAUUACUGAUGGCCACGAACCACUAUGUGCGUGCUGGGAAUUGUGGGUGGUGAUCACAUCCCCCCUUUCCGUAUCCCCCCCCACCAGACAGAGGGGCUUGUGUGUAUAGGAAAACAAGCUGAGCCAGCCACAGGGAGCCAGCCAGUUAACACCUCCAUCUUCUCCUCCGCUUCAGGUCCCCUCUCGAGUCCUGCCUUGGUGUCCCUCAAUGACGGACGGUUGUAAGGCGAAGCAACCUCUUUCCUCCCCAGUGGUUUAUCACAGCGACAGAAACCGAGCCAGGACACUAGGUGAGGGGCUAUUUAUAGACCCACAGUGACUCUAGGAUGACUGCCACAUGAAGGGUCCGACCCAGCCUAGGAGACGACACCCAAGAGCUCUCUCUUUAGCAUUCCCUGCACUCUUCCAGGCAGCUCCACUCACAAGGGCCCUCUUACCCAGCAACCCAUUUGACUGCUUGAAUGACCUUUGGGAAGGGCCUCAUGGAUCUUGUAAUUUUCUGAGUUUCUUUUUAUUUAUUUGCUUUUAUUAUUUAUUUAUUAU
Molecule: long non-coding RNA, 2567 nt
Organism: Peromyscus maniculatus bairdii (prairie deer mouse)
Lineage: Eukaryota; Metazoa; Chordata; Mammalia; Rodentia; Cricetidae
Source: RefSeq, a predicted model, not a curated record